RNAcentral lists this ribosomal RNA (364 nucleotides) under Bacillus cereus. RNAcentral describes it as "bacterial LSU rRNA". It matches the Rfam family "Bacterial large subunit ribosomal RNA", at positions 2566 to 2925 of the family's 2925-position model. Lineage: Bacteria; Bacillati; Bacillota; Bacilli; Caryophanales; Bacillaceae. The record is from RNAcentral.
CAAGGGUUGGGCUGUUCGCCCAUUAAAGCGGUACGCGAGCUGGGUUCAGAACGUCGUGAGACAGUUCGGUCCCUAUCCGUCGUGGGCGUAGGAAAUUUGAGAGGAGCUGUCCUUAGUACGAGAGGACCGGGAUGGACGCACCGCUGGUGUACCAGUUGUUCUGCCAAGGGCAUAGCUGGGUAGCUAUGUGCGGAAGGGAUAAGUGCUGAAAGCAUCUAAGCAUGAAGCCCCCCUCAAGAUGAGAUUUCCCAUAGCGUAAGCUAGUAAGAUCCCUGAAAGAUGAUCAGGUUGAUAGGUUCGAGGUGGAAGCAUGGUGACAUGUGGAGCUGACGAAUACUAAUAGAUCGAGGACUUAACCAUAUAA